CAAUCUUCAGAAUACGAAAGUGAUCAGAUAUGGCAAAGUCAAAGAACCACACCACACACAACCAGUCCCGUAAGUGGCACAGAAAUGGCAUCAAGAAGCCAAGAUCUCAACGUUACGAGUCCCUCAAGGGGGU
Long non-coding RNA from Myxocyprinus asiaticus (Chinese sucker), 133 nucleotides. RefSeq lists it as uncharacterized. The transcript is spliced from 3 exons. The record is from RefSeq and is a predicted model, not a curated record. NCBI's taxonomy places the organism in Eukaryota, Metazoa, Chordata, Actinopteri, Cypriniformes, Catostomidae.